This 251-nucleotide long non-coding RNA is filed under the name Amborella trichopoda. RNAcentral describes it as "long non-coding RNA (ATRI_LNC003459)". Lineage: Eukaryota; Viridiplantae; Streptophyta; Magnoliopsida; Amborellales; Amborellaceae. The record is from RNAcentral.
UUUAUUGUGUUGGGAACACGCUGGAACCUACAUCUUUAUCUUGUGAUUUGAGCACGAAGUUUAUCGGGUUGGGAAACAUGAUAAGUAACUAUAUAAAGAGGUGUCUUCUUCAAAGAGUAGAUCGUAGUUUAUUUUGCUGAAUGCCGAGAGAAAGAUUGAGGAAGAGCUAGAGAGAGAGAAGAGAGUUUCUGGUUAGAGAGAGAGAGAGAUCCCUCUCUUGAGAGAGAAAGAAGAAAGAUUGAGGAAGAGCU